ACCUGGCUAGCUCAGUCAGUACAGCAUGUGGCUCUUGAUCUCAAGGUCGUGAGUUUGAGCCCCACGUUUGGUG
Molecule: transfer RNA, 73 nt
Filed under: Felis catus (domestic cat)
Lineage: Eukaryota; Metazoa; Chordata; Mammalia; Carnivora; Felidae
Also listed under: 1 other name
Rfam family: tRNA
About the family: Transfer RNA (tRNA) molecules are approximately 80 nucleotides in length. Their secondary structure includes four short double-helical elements and three loops (D, anti-codon, and T loops). Further hydrogen bonds mediate the characteristic L-shaped molecular structure. tRNAs have two regions of fundamental functional importance: the anti-codon, which is responsible for specific mRNA codon recognition, and the 3' end, to which the tRNAs corresponding amino acid is attached (by aminoacyl-tRNA synthetases). tRNAs cope with the degeneracy of the genetic code in two manners: having more than one tRNA (with a specific anti-codon) for a particular amino acid; and 'wobble' base-pairing, i.e. permitting non-standard base-pairing at the 3rd anti-codon position.
Source: Rfam by way of RNAcentral